Molecule: ribosomal RNA, 291 nt
Filed under: uncultured soil bacterium
Lineage: Bacteria
Description: partial 16S ribosomal RNA
Rfam family: Bacterial small subunit ribosomal RNA
Source: RNAcentral
AGAAUGAACGCUGGCGGCGUGCUUAACACAUGCGAGUCGAGCGAGGCGGAAGGGGGCAACUCCUUCCAGUCGAGCGGCGGACGGGUGAGUAACACGUGGGUAACCUGCCCGGAAGUGGGGAAUACCUCGGGGAAACUCGAGUUAAUACCGCAUGACAUCUUCGGGACGAAAGUCCUGACGAUCAAAGCGGGGUCGCAAGAUCUCGCGCUACCGGAUCGGGCCCGCGCCCGAUUAGCUAGUUGGUGAGGUAACGGCUCACCAAGGCUUCGAUCGGUAACCGGCCUGAGCGGG